GUGCACGCUUCAGCAGCACAUACACUAAAAUUGGAAUGAUACAGAGAAGAUUAGCAUGGCCCCUGCACAAGGAUGACACGCAAAUUCCUGAAGCCUUCCGUAUUUUU
Small nuclear RNA from Chlorocebus sabaeus (green monkey), 107 nucleotides. The record is from Ensembl. NCBI's taxonomy places the organism in Eukaryota, Metazoa, Chordata, Mammalia, Primates, Cercopithecidae.